RNAcentral lists this long non-coding RNA (1339 nucleotides) under Rattus norvegicus (Norway rat). RNAcentral's name for it is "long non-coding RNA NONRATT008254". The record is from RNAcentral. Lineage: Eukaryota; Metazoa; Chordata; Mammalia; Rodentia; Muridae.
AGAACGGAGAACAUGUCUGACGCCGAGGAAGAGGUGGUGGAGUACGAGGAGAGGCCAUAAUGACCCUGUGGCUCCUGGCUUCUCCAGCACAGGCAGGUUGCAGCCUGGCUUGCAGUGGUCUGGCAAAGGCAUAUCAUGUAUGGACACAGGGAAGUGGUCUUUGAAGGUCCAGGAGCUGUACCUCCCUGCUUUCCAGGCUCUCUGGUUAAAACGGGGAGUGUCUUGCUUCUUUAAGCCUGUUCUGAGUCAUGUGGCCAAAUAAGAGCCAGGAGCAAAAAAUGCCCACAAAUGCCAUUUCUGGUUUUCAGGUGCCAUUAGAAAGAUCACUCACCCUGGUCCACCUAGCAUUCCACCACUGAUCUAAAUCUCCAGACCAUGGCUUUUUCUUUCUUUCUUUUUUUAAUAUUUAUUUUUAUUUUUAUUGUUUUAUUUUUAGUAGUGCAGGAUGGUCUCAAGCUGUGGCAAUCCUCCUGCCUCAGGUUCAGUACUCAGGCAUGCGCGGUGAGCCACCAUGUCCAGCUUCAAAAAUGCACUUGAAUCAAGAGCUCAGCUGCCUCUAACCUCCUCUGUAGAAGGAAACCCCAUCUGCUGGGGAUUCUUUGGUCUUGGAGGAUUUUCCAGCAAAUCACAAGAGGUUCUAGGUGGCAGGGUUUGGGAAACAGACUUGCGCCAGAUUUGUGACCUCCAUCCUGGAUAUAACACACAGUAGGAUCUGUCUGGGAGCUAAAGAACUUCUCAUCGGAGCUCUUACAGCAUCUGCAAGGACCUUAGGACAGGUAGUCCUAAGAGACUUUUUCCCAUUGCUGGGAAGCAAUUCUUUAACCAGAGAUUUGCAUCAAGAACAAUGGGGCAGUGGUCAGUUUCCUCAGAUUAUGAGACCAGGCCUUCCAGCUGUUAUGCCAGCUCCCUCAGUAUGGCUCCCAGUGGGACUUUCCUACACAUGAUUCUGGGAAUCGGUUCCUACUCAUUCCGGGCAGGAAUGUGGGAGAACGUGGAGGAGGAGUGAAAUUUUUGCCUAUUCUCUGCUACAGAGGUCCACCAUCUUAGUGAGAGAGAAGCCAGGGCCUGUAGCUGGCCAGGGCUAGUUAGUGUUUUCUCAAUGUUUGCGAGUGCCAGGCAUGCUAAACGGUUCCAUUCUCAGUAGUGGUUGGCAGGCGAUUGUCCUGUCCACUUACCCGAGGCUCGGGGAUGCCUCAAGGAGUGAGCCUACCAUAUUGCUUGAGUGUUGACUUGGGUGUGAGUCGGAGUUCAGGCCUAACUCUGAGCUGGCUGUGGCCUGCGCUGCCACCAGGCUUUCUGCUGCACACUAACCUGUUCCGCUUGCUCCCUUUGCGGCCGC